This 270-nucleotide ribosomal RNA is filed under the name uncultured archaeon. RNAcentral's name for it is "partial 16S ribosomal RNA". It matches the Rfam family "Archaeal small subunit ribosomal RNA", at positions 477 to 747 of the family's 1478-position model. The record is from RNAcentral.
CUGCAGCCCGAGUGGUGAUCGAUUCUAUUGAGCCUAAAGCGUCCGUAGCCGGACUAGUAAACCCUUGGGUAAAUUGGGCAGCUUAACUGUCCAAAUUCCGAGGGGACUGCUAGUCUUGGGACCGGGAGAGGUCAGAGGUACUCAAGGGGUAGGGGCUAAAUCCUGUAAUCCUUUGGGGACCACCAGUGGCGAAGGCGUCUGACUAGAACGGAUCCGACGGUAAGGGACGAAACCCUGGGGCGCGAACCGGAUUAGAUACCCGAGUAGUCC